CCUACGGGAGGCAGCAGUGGGGAAUAUUGGGCAAUGGGCGCAAGCCUGACCCAGCAACGCCGCGUGAAGGAAGAAGGCUUUCGGGAUGUAAACUUCUUUUGUCAGGGAAGAGGAGAAGACGGGACCUGACGAAUAAGCCAUGGCUAACUACGUGCCAGCAGCCGCGGUAAUACGUAGGGGGCAAGCGUUACCCGGAUUUACUGGGUGGAAAGGGGGCGUAGACGGCAAUGCAAGCCAGGAGUGAAAGCCCGGGGCCCAACCCCGGGACUGCUCUUGAAACUGCAUGGCUGGAGUAAAGGAGUGGCAGGCGGAAUUCCUAGUGUAGCGGUGAAAUGCGUAGAUAUUAGGAGGAACACCGGUGGCGAAGGCGGCCUGCUGGACUGUGACUGACGUUGAGGCCCGAAGGCGUGGGGAGCAAACAGGAUUAGAUACCCUUGUAGUC
This 442-nucleotide ribosomal RNA is filed under the name uncultured bacterium. RNAcentral's name for it is "partial 16S ribosomal RNA". It matches the Rfam family "Bacterial small subunit ribosomal RNA", at positions 338 to 795 of the family's 1533-position model. The record is from RNAcentral.